This 2219-nucleotide ribosomal RNA is filed under the name hydrothermal vent metagenome. RNAcentral's name for it is "bacterial LSU rRNA". It matches the Rfam family "Archaeal large subunit ribosomal RNA", at positions 694 to 2987 of the family's 2987-position model. The record is from RNAcentral.
GCAGUUGAUCUGCGAAGCCGUAGGGAAACCGACAAGUCCGCAGCCCGUAAGGGUGAGGGACGAGAUGUGCUCGUCUGAAGUCAAUGGUGGAGGACCUGAAGCCUAUCGAUCUAUGCCUGGCCAGAUUGAAGCCCGAUGAAAGUUGGGUGGAGGAUCGAACCGUUGCUGAUGUGCAAAUCGCUCGGACGAGUUGGGUAUAGGGGUGAAAGUCCAAUCGAGAUGGGCAAUAGCAGGUUCCGCGCGAGACUACUCGUAGGUAGACCUCUGUGGAGAUAGAUCGUGCUGUAGAGCACUGAUUGGGUAUUUAGGGGGAGCGAUCCCUCGGCACGCUGCCAAACUCCGAAGGUACAAUCGUUGAAGAAGCAGGGAGUGAGCCACGGUGGGUAAGCUACCGUGACGAAAGGAGAACAGUCCAGCCUAGCGUUAAGGUCCCAAAGUACUAACUAAGUGUCAAAGACAAACCGUGUCCGUGGUCGAAAACAACCAGAAGGUGGGCUUAGAAGCAGCCAUCCUUGAAAGAGUUCGUAACAGAUCACUGGUCAAGCUUGCGGGCCGGGAAAAGGGACGGGGCUAAAGUUAGUCACCGAUACGCUAGACCAGCGAAAGCUGAUGUGGUAGCGCGGCGACAUGUUCGGGUAGAAGGUAGGCCUUGAGGUCUACUGGACCGUAUAUGUAUGAGAAUCUAGGGAAAAGUAGCAGCAAAGAGUGGUGAGAAUCCGCUCCACCGGAGGGGCCAGGGUUCCUCGGCAAUGUUCAUCAGCCGAGGGUUAGCCGGUCCUAAGGUCAUUCUUAACCGAAAUGAUCGAAUAGGGAAAUGCGUUAAUAUUCGUAUGCCUCUGUGCAAUUAUGGUGACAGCUUGGGCUAGUCUUACAGGUCAUAUGUCAGGCCUGAAGAUUGUAUAAGGAAUUGGAGAACCGUCAUGGUGAGAAGAUUCCGAAAUCAAUUGACAAUAUAAGAUGACGCCUAGGCUCCGUGAAAAGCCGCACAGAAGACCGUACCUAGAACUGACACAGGUGCCCCUGGGUGAGUAGCCUAAGGUGUGACGGGAAAAGUACCGCAAGGGAACUCGGCAAAAUAGCUCCGUAACUUCGGGAGAAGGAGUGCCAGCUUAGAGAUAAGCUGGUCGCAGUGACCAGGGGUCUCCGACUGUUUAAUAAAAACAUAGGCGACUGCCAGUCCGAAAGGAUGAGUAUAGUCGCUGAAUCCUGCUCAGUGCCGGUAUCUGAAAUCGGGGUUCAACCUGACGAAGGACCGGUAAACAGCGGGGGUAACUAUGACCCUCUUAAGGUAGCGUAAUACCUUGUCGCUUAAUUGGCGACUUGCAUGAAUGGCGCGGUACGUCCGGCGAAAUUGACUAUUACUGGCGCACAGUCCAGUAACCUCAACCUGCAAGCGAAGACCCCGUAGAGCUUUACUGCAGCCUGGCGUUGUACAUUCGCACACUUUGUGCUGAGUAGACGGGAGAUGUUGAUCCUCGGGACGUUAGUCCCGGGAGUAGUCGUCCAUAGAGACACCGUCCUUAAUGUGUGACUGUACUAACUCUUCAUGAGAACACCGCUUGGUGGGCAGUUUGGGUGGGGCGCCACGCGCCCGAAAACCUAACAGGCGUGCCCAAAGGUCAGCUUAGGUGGUUCAGUCUCCACCGUAAACCGUAAGGGGAAAAGCUGGCUUGACGUGGAUCGGAUCAAUAACGAUCGACGAUGCGAAAGCAGGGCCUAACGAACCAAUGUGCCUCAUUUCUGGGGGCCAUUGAUAACAGAAAAGUUACCUCGGGGAUAAUUGAGUUGUCACCAGCAAGAGCACAUAUCGACCUGGUGGCUUGCUACUUCGAUGUCGUCUCUUCCCAACCUCCCGGUGCAGCAGCUGGGAAGGGUGGGGUUGUUCGCCCAUUAAAGGGGAUCGUGAGAUGGGUUUAGACCGUCGUGAGACAGGUUUGUUGCUUUGUGGUUGAGGCGUAUCAGGUGCCUGAUCGGAAGGGCCCUUUAGUACGAGAGGAACGAGGGCUCGGAGCCACUAGUUUACCAGUUGUCCGGCAGGGCAAUGCUGGGUAGCCACGCUCUACGCGGAUAAGAGCUGAAAGCAUCUAAGCUCGAAGUCGCCCGAAAGACGAGGCACCUCAGGGGACUCGUAGAAGACGAGUUUGAUAGACAGCGGGUGUAAGUACCGAGGUUCGCCGAGGUAUUCAGCCCAGCUGCACUAACCCCCCGAGCAUCCAAUU